RNAcentral lists this ribosomal RNA (485 nucleotides) under uncultured bacterium. Its description in RNAcentral is "partial 16S ribosomal RNA". It matches the Rfam family "Bacterial small subunit ribosomal RNA", at positions 29 to 523 of the family's 1533-position model. The record is from RNAcentral.
AGUGAACGCUGGCGGCGUGCUUAACACAUGCAAGUCGAACGAGAACGGAAUAUAGCUUGCUAUAUUUGUCAGCUAAGUGGCGCACGGGUGAGUAAUGUAUAGAUAACCUGCCCUUAAGAAAGGAAUAACAGUUGGAAACGACUGCUAAUGCCCUAUAUGCCUUUAAUACAUAAGUAUGCAAGGGAAACGCUUUAGUGCUUAAGGAUGGGUCUGUAUGGUAUCAGCUUGUUGGCGAGGUAAUGGCUCACCAAGGCUAUGACGCCUAACUGGUUUGAGAGGAUGAUCAGUCACACUGGAACUGAGACACGGUCCAGACUCCUACGGGAGGCAGCAGUGGGGAAUAUUGCACAAUGGACGAAAGUCUGAUGCAGCAACGCCGCGUGGAGGAUGACACAUUUCGGUGCGUAAACUCCUUUUGUAUAGGAAGAUAAUGACGGUACUAUAUGAAUAAGCACCGGCUAACUCCGUGCCAGCCGCCGCGGUAA